RNAcentral lists this ribosomal RNA (547 nucleotides) under Pichia sp. RNAcentral's name for it is "partial large subunit ribosomal RNA". It matches the Rfam family "Eukaryotic large subunit ribosomal RNA", at positions 91 to 657 of the family's 3401-position model. Lineage: Eukaryota; Fungi; Ascomycota; Pichiomycetes; Pichiales; Pichiaceae. The record is from RNAcentral.
GAGUGAGCGGCAAGAGCUCAGAUUUGAAAUCUCACCUAGUGUGCGAGUUGUAAAUUGCAGGUUGGAGUCUCGGGUUAGACGUGUGUGCAAGUCCCUUGGAACAGGGUGCCACUGAGGGUGAGAGCCCCGUAUCGUGCAUGUCGACACCUGUGAGGCCCUUCUGACGAGUCGAGUUGUUUGGGAAUGCAGCUCUAAGUGGGUGGUAAAUUCCAUCUAAGGCUAAAUAUUGGCGAGAGACCGAUAGCGAACAAGUACUGUGAAGGAAAGAUGAAAAGCACUUUGAAAAGAGAGUGAAACAGCACGUGAAAUUGUUGAAAGGGAAGGGUAUUGGGCUCGACAUGGGAUUUACGCAUCGUUGCCUCUCGUGGGCGGCGCUCUGGGUUUUUCCUGGGCCAGCAUCGGUUUUCGUUGCAGGAUAAGGACAAUUGGAAUGUGGCUCCUCGGAGUGUUAUAGCCUUUUGUAGAUGCUGCGUAUGGGGACCGAGGGCUGCGGCGGACUCGUUUCGUCUCGGAUGCUGGCACAACGGCGCAAUACCGCCCGUCUUGA